UUUUUAAGAAGACUACAUUAGCAUUGAAAAGUUAAGAGCUAGCUAGAAAUUAAGACACAACUUUUCACGACCGUUGGCUGGUAGCUACCAUCUGGCAACCAUUUAUCGCAACUUGAAUUCCCUCUACCAGCCCCGCUGCUACAAUUGCUUUUUUCUCCUUAUUGCUGGUGGAAAUCUGAAGGAUUCAACCUCUCAAGUGACCUAACUUAACCAAACCUAUGUGUGUUAAUUAUGCUAUAGGCUCCUAGAGAUGUUGUGCAAAUCAAAGAGGACUAGAACGUUGAAAGAGCUCCCAAAGCUGCAGUCAGUAAUCAGUACUCUAGUCUUGGCGUCU
This 334-nucleotide long non-coding RNA is filed under the name Glycine max (soybean). RNAcentral describes it as "long non-coding RNA (GMAX_LNC001129)". The record is from RNAcentral. Lineage: Eukaryota; Viridiplantae; Streptophyta; Magnoliopsida; Fabales; Fabaceae.